This 7507-nucleotide long non-coding RNA is filed under the name Podarcis lilfordi (Lilford's wall lizard). Lineage: Eukaryota; Metazoa; Chordata; Lepidosauria; Squamata; Lacertidae. The record is from RNAcentral.
CCCGAACGCCUUGUGCAGCUUUCGAGGGGUGCUCCUAAACCUUGAAACUUUUUCCUGCUAAGUCAUAUCGGAUGCUGGAUCUUCCCGCGACUUCGUUGCGAGCCAUGGUUGAAGCAGCGUCCGCAGAGUGGUGAGUAGUCGGUAUCUGUUUGUGAAACAUUCUUCUGAGCAUUUUCUUAAGUUGGUUAUACACCAUCUCCCUAAAUUCUUUUAUUAUUCUACAAGACUACCAUUAAUGAUAAAAUGUGCCGGGUUUUUUCUUUGCACUUCCAGCAUAGGUCAUCUUUAGACCGGUCCUGGGUGAUAUAUUGCCCAGGCACAGUUCUCUUUUAGCGCAUAACUAGCAGUCAAUUUUAAGUUUAUUUUCCACAACUGUUCCCACAGGUUCAAAUCAACAUUAUGACCCACAUCUUGUGCCCAUUUAAUCAUAGAAGAUUUCACAAAUUCUUCUUUCGUUUCCCAACUGAGUAAUAUUCUGUACAUUUUAGAUUAAUUUUUAACUAGAUCUUAAUAUUUCUUCUUUGAAUUGUGAUGGCUUUUAUGCAAAUCCCAAUUUCUUGUCUACCUUAAAUUUUGAAUUGAUUUGGUUAUAAUAUAGCCAGUGCAACACAUAUUCUUUAAUCCCUUCAAUUUAUUUCUUUUUUUUUUUUGUUCUUUUGAAAAGUCUAACAAUUCAUUAUAGGCACCCAAAUUAUCCCUCAUAUUACUUUUUUUCCUUGUGUCAGCUUCUGUUGGGGAUAACCAUGUUGGUGUUUUGUUUUCUAAUAAAUUUUUGUAUUUUUCCCAUACCCUAAUUAAGUUUUUUUAUAAUAAUAAUAAUAAAUUUUUAUUUAUAUCCCGCCCUCCCCAGCCGAAGCCGGGCUCAGGGCGGCUAACAACAAUCAAAUAAUCAAACAAUCAAAUAAUCAAACAUUCUAAAAACAUUUCAUUAUAAAAAUUAAUUAAAAUCAAAUUGAUGGCAACCGUUAAGCAAAAUUCUGUGCAGGUUGCCAGAGGAGGGAGUCAGGCUGCGCCCUGACCAAAGGCCUGGUGGAACAACUCUGUCUUGCAGGCCCUGCGGAAAGAUGUCAGGUCCUGCAGGGCCCUAGUCUCUUGUGACAGAGCGUUCCACCAGAUUGGAGCCGCAGCCGAGAAAGCCCUGGCUCUAGUUGAGGCCAGCCUAACCUCUCUGUGGCCUGGGACCUUCAGGAUGUUUUUAUUUGCAGACCGUAGGUUCCUCUGUGGGGCAUACCAGGAGAGGCAGUCCCGUAGGCACGAGGGUCCUAGGCCGUAUAGGGCUUUAAAGAUUAAAACCAGCACCUUAAACCUGAUCCUGUACUCCAUCGGGAGCCAGUGCAGUUGGUAUAGUACCGGAUGAAUGUGAUCUCGCAGCGAAGACCCCGUAAGGAGUAUCGCCACGGCAUUCUGCACCUGCUGGAGUUUCUGGGUCAGUAUCAAGGGCAGCCCCACGUAGAGCGAGUUACAUUAAUCCAGUCUGGAGGUGACGGUCGCGUGGAUCACAGCGGCUAGGUCAGGGCGAGAGAGAUAAGGGGCCAACUGCUUAGCUUGGCGGAGAUGAAAAAAUGCCGCCUUUGUUAUAGCUGUAAUCUGCGCCUCCAUAGAGAGGGAGGUAUCGAAGAUUACACCCAAACUCUUAACGGACGGUGCUGGCACCAAUUGCACCCCCCGCAAGAGAUGGGAGUUGCUCCCCCAAUCCCAUAUCGUCCCGUCCCAGCCAGAGGACCUCUGUCUUCGAAGGAUUUAACUUCAACCGGCUCCCACGUAACCAUCCAGCCACAGCUUCCAAACAUCUGGUCAGUGUGUCUGGGGCCGAGUCAGGAUGGCCAUCCAUCAACAGAUAGAGUUGGGUGUCAUCGGCAUACUGAUGGCAACCCAGCCCAAAACUCUGGACAAGCUGGGCGAGGGGGCGCAUAAAGAUGUUAAAAAGCAUCAGGGAGAGUAUCGCACCCUGAGGCACUCCACACACCAAGGAGUGGCGCGAUGACAACUCCCCCCCAAGCGCCACCCUCUGUCCCCGACCAGAGAGAAACGAGCGCAGCCAUUGAAGGACUGUGCCCUGGAUCCCCACGUCGGCAAGGCGGUGGUCCAGGAGUUCGUGAUCGAUCAUGUCGAAGGCUGCUGACAGGUCUAGAAGAAUCAGCAGCCCCGACCUGCCUCGAUCCAGCUGCCUGCGGAGAUCAUCUGUUAGGGCAACCAAAUAAUAACAUGGUUGGCAAAGCUUUUAUGUAUUCCAGCUUUUCCAUACCAAAUACAAAUGUGCCAACAGUAUUUGAUGACAUGGCCCUCCAAGUCUAGCAACUGUGUAUUUUCUAGCAGCAGUACCCAAUAUUGUAUCCAGCACAGGCAAGCAGUUUCAAAAUACAAUUCUAAGUCAGGGAGUGCGAAACCUCCUCUAUCUUUUAUGUCAAUAAGAAUCCUAGGCUUUAUCCUAGGCUUCUUCCCCGCCAAAUAAACUUAAGACAGAUCUUUUCACCACUCUUUCAGACAUUGUUUGGAAAAGAAAUAGCAUUUUUGGGAGAGUAUUCAUUUUUAUUGCCAAGAUUCUCCCCAAUAAUGAUAAUUGCAUUUUGCCCAAUAUAUCUAAAUCUUUUUAAACUUCUUCCCAAGUCCUUGCAUUGUAUCUUUAUAGAUGUUAUUUUUAUUUAUGUACUUAACUUUUUCUCUAUCUUCCAUCUGGUAAUUUCCCCUGACUGGGUUGAUUAUCCAUGUUCUUAACUAACAUUUUGGUUUUAUCUUUAUUUAUUUUGAAGCCCCCCAAUUUUCCAAAUUCGAUUAUCUCCUUUAACAGCUAUAGUACACUUUCUAAGGGUUGUUCCAGAGUUAAGACAAUAUCAUCCAUGAAAGCUUUUAUUUUGUAGUUUUGUUUGCCCACUCUUAUUCCUCUAAUUUUAUCAUUAUUCCUUAUAUUUUGCAAUAAAGCUUCUAGAGUGAGAAUAAUAGUGGAGAGAGUGGGCACCUUUGUCUUGUUCCUUUCAUGAUACUGCAUUUUUCUGAGAUGAUGUUGUUUACUAUAAUAUUUGCCCAUUGUUCCUUAUGUAAAGCGUUGAUACCUCUUAAGAAGGCACCACCUGGUUCCAUUUUUUCAAACACUUCUUUCAUAAAUAACCAAGAGAUGUCAUGUUUUUUCUGCACUGAGAAAAAUCAAGGCAGCCGGUUUUUCACUGUGUACCUUCAGAUAUUCUAUUAUGUUGUUAACUUUCCUUACGUUAUUUUUCAGUUGCCUAUCGGGGAGAAAUCCCACUUGAUCCAUAUGGAUCAACUCAUUCACCACUUUUUAAAGCAAUCGCACCCCGCAAAUAGCUUUGGAGCCUUCUUGCCUCUAGCCUAGCCCUCAUCCCUUUUCCUGUUCCCGCUGGAGUCUUCUUUUGCUUGCCACCCCUGCGGGCUCUCUUCCGGCCAACGCUGCCAAUGACAGAUCUUAAAAACUUGGUGUCGGUGAGAUUCUGCAAUCGCAGCACCUUGCGCCUGCUGGACCUCCUGAGCGGAGCGGGUUGUGUCUUGCUCCUCGUGAAGUAGGGUGAAAUGUGAGGAGCGUUGCAAGCCGGUGCAGAGGCAGAAGGUCUGGCCGAGAUGGUAGAGAACGGCUUCUCUGUCAGGGGCUUCUUCCUAACCCAGUGGAACACCAGUAUCAUACGCCUCUUAGAUGGGUUGGACAUGCUGAAGAAGGUGCUGGAGGCCCAAAGACCAGGGUGACUUCAAAGUGGAGGACGCAGCAGGCAGUUCCCUAUCAAUGGUGCCAAAUCCAAGCAAAUGUUAGCUCCAGUCCUGUUAAAUCGAUCCAGCAAUUAUGAACGUUUAAUAAGGGAUUAAUUCCUCAGGCGGUAUGAAAAGACUUUCUGUGGCUUUUUAAUAGAUGGGAGUUCCCAACUACUGCCACUGUUGACAGCCUGUUGCCCCUUCACUCUGCUUGAAUGGGUUAUGUCACAAUGGUUCCUUCAUCAGGUGUUUGUGAGCAUGAAAAUACUGUUGGGAGUUUCAGCAAUGAAGGCUCAGGCAUGACAUAUUGUUUGAAAGUCUGAACAUUUCCUCUUUUUUUAUUUAACAAAAUUUAUAUACCACUUUUAUAAUUUACCAUAUUUUUCGCUCUAUAGGAUGCACUUUUCCCCCUCCAAAAUUAAGGGGAAAUGUGUGUGCAUCCUAUGGAGUGAAUUCAGGCUCCUUGGCUUCAGCGAUAGCAACGCGAAGCCUCCGAAGCGCAGAGGGAGCGCUCCCAGUCCCACCAGGAGAUGCUGGGGACUGAACCUGAUGCCUUCUGCAUGCUAAGCAGUUGUUCUACCACUGAGCUAUGGCCCUAGCUCACAAUAUUGCUGUCAGGAUAAAAUGGAGAAGGUAAAUACGGUAACUGUACAGAAUAGGCACCUGAAUAUAGAAGCAAAUCCAAAGGGGUGCAUGUGUGUGGAAAUAGUAACUGGGAUCUUUAAGUCUCUACCCGGAACUUCAGUCCUGCAGCAGGAAUCCCUGAAGUUCUCUGCUCCAGUCCCUGGUUUCCAUUUUCCAGCUUUCCACCAGCCUAUUUCUCCUCCGCCUGUUCUUCCUGCAAACCACAUCAGUUAACAAACAUGGCUACAUAUGCUAUAAUGUUAUUGUACUAGUUAAAUACAUUGUUUAAAUUGUUAUUAAGGAAAUGAUUAUUUUUCUCCUUCCAAUAAAGUACAGGAGAAAAGUGGUCCAAAUAUAAACAGUUAACUUAUUAAACCUCACAAUAAUUUCAUAAUUAUCUGUCUAUGUAUGUGCUUUGCUUUUAUUUAGUUUAUGGGAAAUGUUACUGAAUAUUGCCAUUGCAUUUUUAUUGUGCAUUGUUCCAUUAUUAUUUUUUAUUGUUUAUAUUGUUAGGCAGUGGGUUUUAUUUCAGUUGGGCGGGUGGGGCAGCCAACAUGAUACCCUGCAGAUGAUUGUUGGAAUAAAGCUUCCAUUAGCCCCAGCAGCAUGACCAGUGGGCUUGCAUGAUGGGAGUUAUAGUGGAACAUCAUCCAGAGGGCACGAGUGAGAACACAGAGUGAGUUGAACCAUUGCAACACCUGUGUGUAGGAACCAGUGGCACGAUGUUAUCUCAGAUAGCCUCUUGCCAUUGUUAUAGCUUCUCUCAAUUCCGGAAGGAAUAUUGGAAGUCAGCCCAUAUAAACUGGGCAGAAAGCCUUACCACUGUUUUUUUCAGUGUUAUGUACACCAGCAUUCAUCUCAGAGUGGUCUAAAGGCAUGUGAUGCUGCCACGUUGUUGUUGUUUUAAUUGAACAUUGUUAAAGCUACGGAAGGGUCAGACUCAUCAUCACUUCAAUAGUAGAUUGCCUGGGAAUUGUCUAUAAAUGGUUGAGCUUCCUGAAGGAAGAGCGCAGAACACAGCAUGUUAAAUAAAAGAAGUCACAAGCAACAAACUCUUCUUCCCCCCCCCCCCGUGUUGUUGAUUCCCCUCCCCCCCAAGUAAAUCCCUUCUGGUUGGCAUGACUGAAUGCCACUGAAUGGGAGCCGAGCAAGAGAUAGAGUAGGGGCCAAAUGACUAGUUAAACUGCUAAUAUUAGCCUUACUCUGUCAUUUCAGCUGGGGCUUAAAUGCACAUGCAAGGAAGUGAGAGGAUGCAAAGGUGUGCCAGGUCUGAGUCAUACACACUGAGUCCCUGUCACUCUUAGUGUGUUCAUCGCCUGCAGUGGGGAUGUCAAAUUCAGAUUCAUUAAUUAAGCAACAAAAUACAGGUCGCAGCCAAAUAUUAUUCAUAAGAAUUAUACAAAAUAAUAAAAAUGAAAUCUAUGCAAUAAUAAAAAGUACCUAAAAACCAGAAUUGACCUCCUUCGAGGUACGCGCCAAAGUUUCUCUCUGUCCCCACUACUGUUUGCAGUGUUUAUAGAGGCACUUUCCUUAAAACUUUGUGGGAACACUUCAGUAAAAGAGGUUACGGUGAGAAGCGUAGAACACAACAUGAAAAUGUUUGUGGAUGACACUCUCUUGAUCCUCCAGAACCCCCAGGUGGCCUUCCCCUAUAUAUUAGAGCAACUCAAUAAAUUCCACAAAGUGACAUGUUUGCAAAGUAAUUAUAGUAUUCAGAAUCCACCAUCCUUUUGGUCGACCUGAACACAGAGGAUCACAAUUGGCUUCUCUCUAACUCAGGGUUUCCCUAACUUGAGUCUUCAGCUGUUUUUUGGACUACAACUCCCAUCAUCCCUGACUUCUAGUCCGGCCACCCAGGGAGGAUGGGAGUUGUAGUCCAAAAACAGCUGAAGACCCAAGUUAGGGAAACCCUGCUCUAAACCCCCUGCCAUAGUCCUAAGGAUAACUCACACCUGAUGUUAAACAGUUCCCUGAAGGAACUACGGUACCAUUUUGCACGUGGCCAAGGCAUGAUAAUGUUGGUACUAAGCAAAUUAGAGCCCAAGUGACAAAUGGCAGCACUAAAGCUCCAUUCUUUAUUAUGCACACCUAUUUUACAGCGCGCGCCCCUUGAUCACUUGUGCGGCUUACUUCCCAGCAGCACUGCACAGGAUCAGGCCCUUAAUGCUGUAAUCUUAAACAAGGGCCCUGCCCAGAGGAGAAGCUCCCAGUACCUUGCACACCAAUGAGAGGAAGCAAAGCAUAGCAUUAAAGCAUAGCAUAGCAUUCAAUCAUAUAUCAUUCUCUCAUAACAUUGGAAGUAAUGGGCAUGGUUAACUUAGGCCUGCGAGGUCUACCACACCCUGGGAACAGCUUCGACUGGCUGGCUAAACCAAGAGAGGUAGCCAAUGGGUCUCAAACCUUUGGUGCGUUAGGGACUUCCCCUGCAUGUUGAAAAGAACCAAAAUGCUCACCAGCUGGUCUCCGGUCCUUUGGGGAUUCCGUGAGCCCGCUAGGUGAAAGGAUUCCCUGCGGUCGGAGGAUUUCAAGAAAACAGGCAAGACCAAGGCAAAACUUAAAGCAAAGUGGCUAAGAAGCCUGACCUUUAUUUGUAAGCAAAACUGCUAUAGCAGGGUCAGCACUCCCCUUGCAAAGAGAAGAGUCAAACCCCUCCCAGAAGGUGCUCCCAACUUUUAUUAGUUUCCCCAUUUUCAGUUGUAACAUCAAUGCUCUAGGUGGCACUGUUUGAUAACAUUCAGUGACUGGAGCUCGACAAGUCAUUAAAUGCAGACAAUUCUAAACACUCAAUUCUUUCAUUAGCUAUAUGUAAUAGUGCUGUUCUCUAGUUCUUUUUUUAGCUGUCUUUAUGUACAAGGACUGUCCACUUUAUUUGGAGGCUUUAGGUAAGUACACACGAUAUAAUCAAGAACAGAAAACUGUACUCCUUGUUUUUUCUGUUGUUCAGAUCUGCCCCCAGCCAUGGGGGUCUUCUGGAGUUUGGGCAUAUGCAUAAUUGCUGGCUAAUCUGUCUGCUCUUUACCCCCAACAGGAACAGCUUUGCAAAAAGAAUGUAACAGCUACUUGACUCAGGACAUCUAUGGAUUUCCGCUGGAAUGUUUGUGGCCCCUUGCAGUCUCAUCUCCUGAUGCACAUUUCCUAGUAGUCUCAAUGUCUGCAUCUAAUGAAUAAACUGUGAAUCUAUUGUCAG